Molecule: ribosomal RNA, 466 nt
Filed under: uncultured bacterium
Lineage: Bacteria
Description: partial 16S ribosomal RNA
Rfam family: Bacterial small subunit ribosomal RNA
Source: RNAcentral
GACGAACGCUGGCGGCGUGCUUAACACAUGCAAGUCGAACGGAAAGGCCCAGCUUGCUGGGUACUCGAGUGUCGAACGGGUGAGUGACACGUGGGUGUACUGCCCUGCACUCUUGGAUAAGCCUGGGAAACUGGGUCGAAUACCGGAUAUGACCGACUGUCUCAUGUGGGUGGGUGGAGAGCUUUUGCGGUGUGGGAUGGGCCCGCGGCCUAUCAGCUUGUUGGUGGGGUAAUGGCCUACCAAGGCGACGACGGGUAGCCGACCUGCGAGGGUGACCGGCCACACUGGGACUGAGAGACGGACCAGACUCCUACGGGAGGCAGCAGUGGGGAAUAUUGCACAAUGGGCGCAAGCCUGAUGCAGCGACGCCGCGUGCGGGAUGACGGCCUUCGGGGUGUAAACCUCUUUCACCAGGGAAGAAGCGUGAGUGACGGUACCUGGAGAAGAAGCACCGGCUAACUACGUG